UACAGAGGGUCCAAGCGUUAAUCGGAAUCACUGGGCUUAAAGGGUCCGCAGGCGGAUGUUCAAGUGCGGUGUGAAAUCCCACGGCUUAACCGUGGAAUUGCACUGCAUACUGUUCAUCUUGAGCCCGGCAGGGGUCGUCGGAACGAUAGGUGGAGCGGUGAAAUGCGUAGAUAUCUAUCGGAACGCCAAUGGUGAAGACAGACGACUGGGCCGGCGCUGACGCUCAGGGACGAAAGCAUGGGUAGCGAACGGG
RNAcentral lists this unclassified non-coding RNA (253 nucleotides) under uncultured Phycisphaeraceae bacterium. Its description in RNAcentral is "contains 16S-23S intergenic spacer region". It matches the Rfam family "Bacterial small subunit ribosomal RNA", at positions 524 to 776 of the family's 1533-position model. Lineage: Bacteria; Pseudomonadati; Planctomycetota; Phycisphaerae; Phycisphaerales; Phycisphaeraceae. The record is from RNAcentral.